UACGAAGGGGGCUAGCGUUGCUCGGAAUUACUGGGCGUAAAGCGCACGUAGGCGGCUUUCUAAGUCGGGGGUGAAAUCCUGGAGCUCAACUCCAGAACUGCCUUUGAAACUACAUCGCUAGAAUCAUGGAGAGGUUAGUGGAAUUCCGAGUGUAGAGGUGAAAUUCGUAGAUAUUCGGAAGAACACCAGUGGCGAAGGCGACUAACUGGACAUGUAUUGACGCUGAGGUGCGAAAGCGUGGGGAGCAAACAGG
Molecule: ribosomal RNA, 253 nt
Filed under: uncultured bacterium
Lineage: Bacteria
Description: partial 16S ribosomal RNA
Rfam family: Bacterial small subunit ribosomal RNA
Source: RNAcentral